AUUCGGGGAUCGGGGAUCGGGGACCCUCGGGGAUCCCCUGUUAUUAUUCGGGAAGAGGAUGUGAAUUCUCUCAAGUAAUUCUGAUGGGGACGGGGAGAAGAUAGGGACAUACGCAAAAUAUUGGGGAUGAAUACGAGGAGAUCGGUCCCCUCCCCUCCCCUCCCCAUUGCCAUCCCUAUUGAGAACUAGGAAGUUAAUGGGCUCUUAUGUGGAUUUUAAAAUUUGAAAUUAAACACUACCCUUGAGAUACAUAUCGUUCCCAAUCUCUGGUCUCAUUUCUUUCCUUCUCACGAUGUUUGGGUCUUCAUUCUUUUACCUAGCCCAGGUAUACUUAUCACCUUUCUCUCUUUUUCUUUUUCUUUUCUUCAUUUUGUGGCUUUCAUGGAUCCAUUCAAAGUUGAGCAUAGCAAAUCAAGCAAAAGUAAAGGUUCAUGUAGAGGAGUCACCAAGAGUCUCACGCGUCGUUCCUCCUGUGUUUCUCCUCCUUCUACGACCACAAUUCAUGUUGCUGAUGAUAAGGACCAAGACGUCUCAAUAGAGGAGUUUUCAGCCAAUCGAUGGGAAUCUAAAGCCUCUCUUCACAUGAUCAACAAAUUGAGAAAGGAUUUUCAAAUUCCAAACUCCGUAAAGCUUACGAUUCUAAACCCUUACGAAAAUAUGGCAACAUCUCCAGAGGGCUCUGUAGCCCUUUACACUUCUAUGUUCAAAGUUAGGAUAAGGCACUACCCUUACACCCUUUUAUUUGUUUGUUUUUGUGAUCCUUCAACGUUGUCCCCGCUCAACUUAACCCUGUAGUUUAUAAGGCCCUUCUUGGUCAUUAUUUAAUCCGGAAACUUUCGGGAAACCAAUCUAACUUCUCUUUUGGUGAGUUUAAAAGAUUGUAUCAGAUCAAAUCAGUUGCCAAAGGAAGUGGUUGGUACUACUUGGCCGACUGGGCUCCCAUUGAUCCAAUUAUCACCCCUGAUUUCCUUGGUCAACUAAGGGUUGGAAAGAUUCUUAGUUUAGUUUCUAGCUUCUGAAAGCUGGUGUUCUAGUGACCCCAACACUAGCGAUUCUUUUUCCACUUUCUUUCAAACUCUAGGUUGAUUNNNNNNNNNNNNNNNNNNNNNNNNNNNNNNNNNNNNNNNNNNNNNNNNNNNNNNNNNNNNNNNNNNNNNNNNNNNNNNNNNNNNNNNNAAUUGCUUGGCAACAUUCAAUGUGGUCAAGUUAGCUUUUUGCAAUUUGAUGUGAUUUCUCUAUUCAGCAAGACUUUAUACCAAGAAUUUGGUCUCAUUCCUGUUGGUAUGUAUCGUACUAUUUUGCACUGUGACCAGUUUUAGUUUCUCUCCUUUUUGCUUCUUUACAUUUAUUUGGUGUUGAGGACGCACAGUUAUCAUGUCUCAAAUUGGUAGUAGAAAGAGAAUAAGGCUAACAAACUUACCUCCCGGGGAGUCCACCUCUCGAAAGCACGGCGCUACUCCUUCGACUCAAUCUCAGUGCUCGAAGCCCCCUCAAAUCAAUCUGUCCCUCAUGGCACCUUGCAAGCCGGGAAAAAAAACCCAACUGCCAACCAAUUUGAGAUCACCUGAGCACACUUUAGCUCUCAUGUUUGAUGAUUUGGCUAACUAGACUUUUUAGCAUAGCGAGCUCGAACAUGACCUAGCCACCUUUCGUCUUUGAAGAGGACAUUUUCUUACAAGAAUGUCUUCGUUCAAAGCAGACUGACCCAGAGGUCCUAUUCUCUGCCUUCAUAGGUAAUGCUCACAAGGUUGGCUUUAUGAUUCCCUCUUGGGUUUGUUGUUGCUCUCUUUAUUGCCUGACAUCGAUAAAAUUUCUUUAUUGAACAUUCAUAGGUCACUAUGAACAUGAUCCAAGCAUACAAUCUAUACCGAAAUUCAAAAGGUGAAUGUUCUAAAGCCAGAAGUGAGAAAAAUAUGGUUUCAGUGAAGUAAUCCAGCUAAGGACUGAGCUUGCAGCUCUCAAAUCCGUUCAUGAAUCUCUCAAAUUGGAGUAUAGCAUCAACAACGAUGUGAUCAAGAACAAAGAUGAAGAGCUAUCUCGCCUGAGGCAACAGCGUCAGAACAGUUAUUAGAGCCAUAUCAAAGCUUAUCUCCAAUUGGCUGAAUUUAAGCAAGUGAAGGAGGUGGAAUUCUUUGCUAGGGUUGAUGAUUGCAAGAAAGUGAUGAAGGACCACUAUCCUGAGUAGGAUUUGAAGUUCAUGGAUGAUUAUUAUUGUGAAGCCCCUCACGUGGACGAUUUUAACUUGCCUCCAGAGGACAAGUCAGCUAUAAAUAAUAUGUAAGAUACAUAUUUUUUUGGACAAAAUAAAAGAAAAAACAUUUCACAGGCACUUUUUUUUUUCAUCCUUUAGUUUAUCCUUAAAUUUAAUAUAGUCAAGAUAGAUAAAUAAAUAAUCAGUACUGUUAUUCUAUGAUAAGUAAACACAAAUUCCUUCAUUCACUUAAGAAAAUACACGCUAAGGACAAUGAUUCUCAAUUGAAAAAUUAUCAUUAUCAUUAUUAUUGUUGUUGUUGUUGUAUAUAAAAAUUUAAUUGACUUCAUUAAAAAAAUUUGAUGAACAAUACGUGUGCGAGUGCGCACGCGUUGCGUAUUCUUUAGUGUUAUUUUUAUUUUGUUAAAUUACCAUUAAAUUAUAAAUUUAUAUAAAAAUUCAGAUGUUAUUUAAUUGUUCUUGAAACUUUUAUUUUAAAAUGGUUUACAAUUAUUUAACUAAAAAUCUUAUUUUACCCUCAAUGAAUUAUAGAGUAAACUUAACUAUAAAUUUAUAGAUAGGUAUUUUGUACUAUUAUUUGAAAAAUAAGGAUAAAAUGGAUUAAAAAAAAUAAGACUGAAAUGUACUAUUGUAUCGAAUUUCAGGAGUAAAAAUGACUUUUUCCCUUUUUAUAAAUAGGAAAACGAGCUUAACAACUCAUCUUAAAAUUGUAACUCCAUCAUCGAUAUUAUUUUUCUUAAAAUUGUUGAUCGGAGAUAGCCGCUAAAAGGGGAGGACUUUGUUAGUAUAGAGAAUAAUUUUAUUUAUGAAUUCUAAUCUUCUAAGCUUGGAGUUUUUUGUUUUUUAUUUGAGUGACUCAAAUUUAAUUUAUUUAUUAUUGGCGUGGCGAGAUUUUCAUCGUUGCAUCUGUCUCGUUCUAAUAAGUUGCAGAACACACUCUUCUAGGCCAAUUUGAGUUGGAUCGGUGAGCGUGAGUGCUCUGUGAACUAAGGCCUUUCAGGGGUCCUCAAGUGUGCCGGCUUUAAGUUUCUUCCAUUCAAAUUUCACAUUACUGCUUCUCGCACGUGAAUCACAUAAGUCUGCCUUUUCAAUAAUAUUAAAACAAUAAUCAUUAAUUCAUCGUCAACAACAUCAUCACAAUAAUACAAGUCUACUCUUUUUGUAUCUUUCUUAAAAGAGGAUGAUGAUGAUGAUGAAAACUUACUUCGAGUACAUCAACCCCAAAAAUUAACUCAUAAAUAUUGAAAGUAUGUAA
RNAcentral lists this long non-coding RNA (3467 nucleotides) under Citrus x clementina. RNAcentral describes it as "Citrus clementina (C. clementina) long non-coding RNA (CCLE_LNC006585)". Lineage: Eukaryota; Viridiplantae; Streptophyta; Magnoliopsida; Sapindales; Rutaceae. The record is from RNAcentral.